GAUCAUGGCUCAGGACGAACGCUGGCGGCGUGCCUAACACAUGCAAGUCGAACGGGGUUACACGAGGUGCUUGCACCAUGUGGAACCUAGUGGCGGACGGGUGAGUAACGCGUGAGCAACCUGCCUUUCAGAGGGGGAGUAACAACGGGAAACCGUUGCUAAUACCGCAUAAUACCGGAUGAUGGCAUCAUUGACCGGUCAAAGGAGCAAUCCGCUGAAAGAUGGGCUCGCGUCCCAUUAGGUAG
Molecule: ribosomal RNA, 245 nt
Filed under: uncultured bacterium
Lineage: Bacteria
Description: partial 16S ribosomal RNA
Rfam family: Bacterial small subunit ribosomal RNA
Source: RNAcentral